GACGAACGCUGGCGGCGUGCUUAACACAUGCAAGUCGAACGAAGAGCGAUGGAAGCUUGCCUCUAUCAAUCUUAGUGGCGAACGGGUGAGUAACGCGUAAUCAACCUGCCCUUCAGAGGGGGACAACAGUUGGAAACGACUGCUAAUACCGCAUACGAUCUAAUCUCGGCAUCGAGGAAAGAUGAAAGGUGGCCUCUAUUUAUAAGCUCUCACUGAAGGAGGGGAUUGCGUCUGAUUAGCUAGUUGGAGGGGUAACGGCCCACCAAGGCGAUGAUCAGUAGCCGGUCUGAGAGGAUGAACGGCCACAUUGGGACUGAGACACGGCCCAGACUCCUACGGGAGGCAGCAGUGGGGAAUCUUCCGCAAUGGACGAAAGUCUGACGGAGCAACGCCGCGUGAGUGAUGACGGCCUUCGGGUUGUAAAGCUCUGUUAAUCGGGACGAAAGGCCUUCUUGCGAACAGUUAGAAGGAUUGACGGUACCGGAAUAGAAAGCCACGGCUAACUACGUG
This 510-nucleotide ribosomal RNA is filed under the name uncultured bacterium. Its description in RNAcentral is "partial 16S ribosomal RNA". It matches the Rfam family "Bacterial small subunit ribosomal RNA", at positions 28 to 507 of the family's 1533-position model. The record is from RNAcentral.